This is a long non-coding RNA of Cyprinus carpio carpio, 3400 nucleotides long. Lineage: Eukaryota; Metazoa; Chordata; Actinopteri; Cypriniformes; Cyprinidae. The record is from Ensembl.
UACUUCUAAAUCUAAACUUUAGAAGAGGUAUGUCCAAACAUGCCUGGUUAAAUAAACAUUAAAUGGCAAAUGGGUUUUCCAGUAGCCAGUUUAGAUAUUAGAGUUCUUGAUAUUUGCUUUUCUGAAUGACUAUAGUGUCAUUUUGGAGUAAAUAUAAUAUAAUUUUACACAGUCAGUUAUAUAUACAUGACAUUGUAAUAAUUAACUUAAUAACUGUAAAAAGAUAAUACAAGCAGUGCCACACAUAAAGUAACAGAACUCAAUAUUCUUGUUAUGAAUAUAUGCUGUGGUUAUGUGGGUAGUCCUAUUACAAUUUUUUUUCUUCAGUCAAAUUAUCUCUCUUUUUAUAUCUACUUAAUGAGUAAUAAUGUCCCUGUGGAUUAUGUGGCCUGCAGUCUGGGCUUGUAAAACAUUACUUUACUACUGUGUGUACAUAACGGUUACUCAUCUGAAUUUAACCCUUUUUAACUGCAGUUUUUCCUAACCUUUUUUUCUAUACCUCAUUGGCACAAUCAGGAGGAAACAGAAACGUGUAUUUUUUUUUUUUUUUCAACUUUAUUGUUGGAACGUUUAUUAAUAUAUAACAGAAUGUAUAUGAGAAAAAUCUGUUAAAAUGUAGUUUUGAAAUUAAUGACUUAAAAUAUAACAAUUCUGUUUUUAUUUAUUUAAGUACAAGUAAAAUGAUCCCCAGUGGUAGAUUACAAAAGGAAAGCAAGUGUACUUUGACUGGAAAAUAAAUAUUAGUCACGGCUGGAUAUGUUUGCCCAAAUCUUUCUUGAUUUUGUAUUGAUGUUUAAAUAUGAUUGGCAGUAAGCUUCUGUUGACAAAGCUUGUCAAGUGUAGCUAAGUGUUGCUCCUCAUGAAAGUGGUGUAAACACUUGGGCUGUAAUUUAGCUCUUAGCGUUAGUCAUCUGCUGAUAAUACAAAAUGUGUCUGUGUGCUUGUCUUGUACAUGUCAAAAUUGAGAAACUGGUCUAUUUAGACAAGGAUGUUUCAAACUAAAAUUUCAGAGAAAAAGUGUGUUAACAGAAAAACUUCUGUGGUAAAAACUAAAUUAUUUGAAUUAAUUUAAUAAUAUUUUCCAGAUACCGCAUAAUUCAGUAUCCUAUUAAAUCUAUUUCCUUUGGCUUUACAACAGCAUAAAUACUACUUUUUUUUUUUUUUAUUUAUUUAUUUUUUUUUUUCCAAUAGCACAAUUUUCUUACAUAUAUGGCUGUUCUUAGUUUUAAAGACUCAAAAGUGUAAAAUGGAUGUUGGUCUCAAUUAGUAUUAAAUCAAUUAGUAUUCAUGUGCUGUCAUACUUUCUUUGGGCAUCUUAGCAUUUUGCCUUAGCAGGGCAGCAUAAUCAUCUCUAUGUUUAUUUUUGUAACUGUUCAAAUGAACCUAGUAUACUAAUUUGUUUUGUCCAUGUCUCUUUCAGCUGUGGCCGUGCUGUUGUGCAUCAUACUGUCAGCAGAACCAUCUGAUGUCCUGCGAUGCACAGGGGAGAGACAACGCGAUGGGCAGCUCUACUUCAACAUGUCAUAUGGCCUUAAAGAGGACGUCGAUGACUGCGAGACCCAAUGGGUCAUCAAUGGAAGCGUGGCAGGGAUUUCUAAUGCUGAUGGAAAUAUUUUCAUACCCCCACUUGUAAUGGCAACAGCAAACACUGCCAUCUUACAGACCUGCCCUGAAAAACUUGAAUGCCUGCUCAUCUGCCCCUCCGCCAGUAUCAACACUAGGGAACAGUGCUCUUGUGAUAUCACUUCUCCGACUACACUUCCUGAAGUUGGUUUUCCUGGCCAGAUCGUUGGUGCUGGGAUUGGAGUGAGUGUAUCCGUGAUUCUGUUGUUCUAUGUCACCAUUGUGCUUUACAAGAAAAAAAAAAGGUCAGGAUAUGCUCCAGGUCGUGCUGAAACUGUUUGAUUCUGGAGACGUUUCAUCUUCAGUAAUUCAUUAGGAACUGUACUCUUCUCUUUUAAAUUGUAAGGCCAUAACCAUGUCUUGAACAUUAAAGACGGGGGUGGGGGGUGGGCAAACUAAUUUUGAGUUUUUAAGAAAAUAAAUAAUUAAAGGGUAUAAAGGGAUUUAAGGGAAUAAAUGUGCAUCUACAUAAGUGUGUACAUAAAUCACAGACAUUAUAGCUAUAUAUUUUCAAUUCUGAACAGUGAAAUUUGGCCAUUUUUAAAGAGGGACUUGUCCCCCUCAAUGUCUAUGGUGGUUACAGCCCUGUUUUAUAGCAUUAGCUCUAUUAUUCUGCUUUUGUUGAUUACAUUUAGCAUCGCAUUGCUUUAUAGCUUGUAGGAUUUUUUGUUUGUUUCUCUAAUUAAAUUAUGACUCUAUGAAUUAUGUCUCAAACCUAAAUGAAGCUACAUGAUGAAAUAAUGCUAUUAGUUUAUAUUAUAGAAUUAUAUAUUUAAUACUAAAUACUUUUAUAAAUACUAUAUGUGUCCUCAUGAUUAGCACAAAUGAAAACAAAUGAUUGAAAAUACUUUUAAAAUUGUAUUGAAAAUAUUUUAUCAUAGAAUUAUACACUGAAUUAUAUUGUAACUUGGUAUAUUUAUCUUAUAGUAUAACUUAAUACAUUAAACUGUAUUAUUUGUAUUAUUAAUAUAUAUAUAUAUAUAUAUAUAUAUAUAUAUAUAUAUAUAUAUAUAUAUAUAUAUAUCUAUCACUGGUCUAGUCAGUCUGUGGGGAAAGAAUUGGUGGAUUGCAUGGCACUAUAGUGAGCAUAAAAUGUGUGUGAACAUAAGUAACUAUAUGACCAGGGCAAGUAUUUGUAUAAAUUUCUGCUGUGGAAGCAAAAUGAAAUGAAAUGGUUGCCAGUGAGUUCACAAAUCGAAUACAUGUAAAAUAACCUACCCCCCACCCCCACCCCCCUCACACACACACUAAAAAAAAGGGGGUAAAUAUACUUUAACAACAUGAUUUACAUGAAAUAAAUAUCCCUAUGUGCUAUGCCAUCGGCUAAAAAAUUAUUUUCUUCCUGUACUGUAGCCUUUUAUUUAUAUAGCUGCAGUAUCCUUUGUGGGAAAGGAUACUGGCACUGCUAGAUUUGAUCAGAUUUGUAUCAAAUGUCUGUUUAAAGCAUUAUGUAUAUCAUAAAGGAUGUUUAGUAAUCAGGGCCAUCCUUGGGGGGUGCAACUGGUGCGAAUACGAGUACGAACAGACCAAGGGUGGACCUACUGCCUACCUCGCACCGGGCCCCGCGUCAGCUAAGGACGUCCCUGUUAGUAAUAUUUGCUUAGCUAUUGUAUUGCACAGCAUUACUCUACUCUUUGUAAUGACUUCUUCCUUUUAAGCACUUAAACGCUUUCUUUUGGGGCAUUUCUGUUAAUAAAAAUCUUAUAUAAGAACAUUUGAGUGUGUACCUGAUUUAUUUUUCUACACCACAGAUAAGUUUAGAAAAAGUCAGCAUCUG